GAUGAACGCUGGCGGCGUGCUUAACACAUGCAAGUCGAACGGAAAGGCUCCUGCUUGCAGGGGUACUCGAGUGGCGAACGGGUGAGUAACACGUGGGUGAUCUGCCCUGCACUUCGGGAUAAGCCUGGGAAACUGGGUCUAAUACCGGAUAGGACGAUGGUUUGGAUGCCAUUGUGGAAAGUUUUUCGGUGUGGGUUGAGCUCGCGGCCUAUCAGCUUGUUGGUGGGGUAAUGGCCUACCAAGGCGUCGACGGGUAGCCGGCCUGAGAGGGUGUACGGCCACAUUGGGAAUGAGAUACGGCCCAGACUCCUACGGGAGGCAGCAGUGGGGAAUAGUGCACAAUGGGCGCAAGCCUGAUGCAGCGACGCCGCGUGGGGGAUGACGGCCUUCGGGUUGUAAACUCCUUUCGCUAGGGACGAAGCGCAAGUGACGGUACCUGGAGAAGAAGCACCGGCUAACUACGUG
Molecule: ribosomal RNA, 465 nt
Filed under: uncultured bacterium
Lineage: Bacteria
Description: partial 16S ribosomal RNA
Rfam family: Bacterial small subunit ribosomal RNA
Source: RNAcentral